This 253-nucleotide ribosomal RNA is filed under the name uncultured bacterium. RNAcentral describes it as "partial 16S ribosomal RNA". It matches the Rfam family "Bacterial small subunit ribosomal RNA", at positions 524 to 776 of the family's 1533-position model. The record is from RNAcentral.
UACGAAGGGGGCUAGCGUUGCUCGGAAUCACUGGGCGUAAAGGGUGCGUAGGCGGGUUUUUAAGUCAGAGGUGAAAUCCUGGAGCUCAACUCCAGAACUGCCUUUGAUACUGAAGAUCUUGAGUUCGGGAGAGGUGAGUGGAACUGCGAGUGUAGAGGUGAAAUUCGUAGAUAUUCGCAAGAACACCAGUGGCGAAGGCGGCUCACUGGCCCGAUACUGACGCUGAGGCACGAAAGCGUGGGGAGCAAACAGG